CCUACGGGAGGCAGCAGUGAGGAAUAUUGGUCAAUGGGCGUAAGCCUGAACCAGCCAAGUCGCGUGAAGGAUGAAGGUUCUAUGGAUCGUAAACCUCUUUUAUAUGGGAAUAAAGUGUGGGAUGUAUCCUGUUUUGUAUGUACCUUAUGAAUAAGGAUCGGCUAACUCCGUGCCAGCAGCCGCGGUAAUACGGAGGAUCCGAGCGUUAUCCGGAUUUAUUGGGUUUAAAGGGUGCGUAGGUGGACUGUUAAGUCAGUGGUGAAAGUUUGCGGCUCAACCGUAAAAUUGCCGUUGAAACUGGGAGGCUUGAGUAUGGUAGAGGCAGGCGGAAUGCGUGGUGUAGCGGUGAAAUGCUUAGAUAUCACGAAGAACCCCGAUUGCGAAGGCAGCUCGCCAAGCUAUGACUGACACUGAUGCACGAAAGCGUGGGGAUCAAACAGGAUUAGAUACCCUGGUAGUC
This 460-nucleotide ribosomal RNA is filed under the name uncultured bacterium. Its description in RNAcentral is "partial 16S ribosomal RNA". It matches the Rfam family "Bacterial small subunit ribosomal RNA", at positions 338 to 795 of the family's 1533-position model. The record is from RNAcentral.